Non-coding RNA from Camellia sinensis, 1026 nucleotides. The record is from RefSeq and is a predicted model, not a curated record. Lineage: Eukaryota; Viridiplantae; Streptophyta; Magnoliopsida; Ericales; Theaceae.
GCGCGGUGAGCACAAAGCGAACUAUUCUUUCGCCUUUUACUAAAGAAUACCGUGUGCUCGUCGCAAAUAGCGGCAUACGCCCAUUUUUGGAGGGUUCCUUCCCUAUGAAGGGUUGGUCCCCUAAAAUUCCAAGUUAAAAGUUUUUGAUCUUUAAUUUUUACCUGAAUGGGUUGAUGAUGUCCUGCAAUUGCUAUUUAAUAUGAGGAAUUUACACACGAAAUGUUUGGGAGGGGGAUUGCAACUUAGAUGCUGUUAAUGCCCAAGCUAUGAGAAAUUUCAUGGGAACUACAGACAAUUUCUUUCAAAAUAGAAAACUACUGAACUGGAUGGAGAUUUUUUCAGUUUUAAUUCUCGAUGGGAGCGUGUCGGAAAAAAAAGAAAAAGAAAAAAAAGCAUAAGCAUGCCAAUGGCUGAAAUCAAUUCACAGAGUGAAGUCCAAAGGUUUAUAUGAUUUAGUAAGCACUUAUAUUUUGUAUUUGCUCAAUAAUAAUGCAAAUAAAUAUGUAAUCCUAGUAAGAUGUGAAUGAAUUCAAGUCAAGUUUGUACCAAAGGAGAUUAUUAUUAUAUUAAAGAAUAAUGCUAUAUGUACUAAUUAAUGUACACAUUAUGUGAUAUCAUUUGUAGGUUUUGGGUAUUUAUAACUCGUAUAAUAAAUGUGAUCAAUAAUAAUAUUAUAACACUAAUUGGUAUACUAGUGUGUAUAUUAAUUGAUACAUGUAAUACUACUGUAUAUUAAUCCACGAGUUUAAUGGAUGGGUAUUAUUUGGUGACCAAACGAAGUGAGUCCCGCAUCAGUUUGUCAUAUGGAGGACUGAGUUAGGAAUGUUUGUAUAAAAACAGCAAGAAGAGAGUAGAGGAAGGCAUCUUUGCGCUUGGGGCAAUGACGCAGCUAGUGAGGUAAUAACCGAGGCGCGUCAAUUGCUGGUUGAAAACUAUUUCCAAACCCCCUCAUAGGCCUGGGUUCAGCCCGGGCCCUUGAGAAUUUCUGGAAGGGCCUCCCUCUAACCAAGGGUUAAAGCUCUACAA